Molecule: long non-coding RNA, 1119 nt
Organism: Raphanus sativus (radish)
Lineage: Eukaryota; Viridiplantae; Streptophyta; Magnoliopsida; Brassicales; Brassicaceae
Exons: 3
Source: RefSeq, a predicted model, not a curated record
UCUGAUAUUAGUCCUGUUGAUUCGAUGGAUGAAUUGUACAGUAUAGUUGCACACCUUUCUUGACCAUUGUAUUGUAUCCUCCAAAGUAUCAAUACAGUCAUUUACGCGAAUCUCAAUGUUUCCCUUUCUGAAGAAACAAACUAACACGGGAAUGAGAAUCAGAAGAGUGUCAGAACUUAUGGAUGCAAUUCCGUGUGACUAUCACACCUGGCAUUGCACUACGAUCGGUGGUGCUAUAGCAACCAUUCUAUUACUAAGUUUUUUAUUUAUUUCUUCAUAUUCAAUUACGUUCUAAUCAUAUAUUAUGUAUCUCCUUUUCUCCCUCUUAUAAUUUGCCUAUAUAUGAUCAUCUCUCUUUAUAUUUUUAAGCAAAAAAAAGAGCAUCUCUAUAUACUAUAAUAUGUGCGAGAGAAAGAGAGUAAAAGAACACCGUUUGUUCUGGUUUUAGGAAUCCGAUAUAGAAAGUUAUGAUCUUUAUGGAACCAGAAUUGAAAAGUUAGGAUCUUUAUGGAACAAUCUUCAGUUUAUUGGUUUCAUGUUGCUCUGCUCUGUCUGAAUGUUCUGUUCAAUCUUCAGUGAGAUGUAUUGAAUGCUCUAUCAGUUGAGUUGAUAUCGAUGUUGUUUUAUUUUGAAACCAGGAUUGAAAAAUUAUGAUCUUUAUGAACAAUCGUUAGUUUAUUGGUUUCAUUGUUGUCUGUGAUUGACAAGCAAUUGGCAGUGGAAGUUCAAGGGAAACUCAAUCGGUACUAGUGGUCCUCAGGCUCGUCAGAUUCGUAUAGCUGAAUGUCUUGUUGGCUGGAUUGAGAACUUGCCCAAGCUGGUGGAGGAUAUAGUUCAGACAUCGAUUAACACAGGUCCACACGGUGCGUUGCGUCUUGUCCAAGGCGUUCAGGCCUUUGUUGGGGUUGGAGGAGAGUGGCUGAAUGAUAUCUCUAAGACAACAAGUGUCUGGUGGAUUACCAACUGAAAUGCAGCUUGGUCUACUGUCUCCUCUGUAUAUGAGGAAGCUGUUUGAACGCAUGGGAACUACUUAGAUUAAGCUGGGCCAGGUGAUUAGUUUUGCUAAAAUGUAGUGCGAAUUGUAUCCUUUGAUGAUCUUUGUCAAUUAUACUCCUUAUA